This 844-nucleotide ribosomal RNA is filed under the name Escherichia coli. RNAcentral describes it as "partial 23S ribosomal RNA". It matches the Rfam family "Bacterial large subunit ribosomal RNA", at positions 418 to 1261 of the family's 2925-position model. Lineage: Bacteria; Pseudomonadati; Pseudomonadota; Gammaproteobacteria; Enterobacterales; Enterobacteriaceae. The record is from RNAcentral.
CGGGACACGUGGUAUCCUGUCUGAAUAUGGGGGGACCAUCCUCCAAGGCUAAAUACUCCUGACUGACCGAUAGUGAACCAGUACCGUGAGGGAAAGGCGAAAAGAACCCCGGCGAGGGGAGUGAAAAAGAACCUGAAACCGUGUACGUACAAGCAGUGGGAGCACGCUUAGGCGUGUGACUGCGUACCUUUUGUAUAAUGGGUCAGCGACUUAUAUUCUGUAGCAAGGUUAACCGAAUAGGGGAGCCGAAGGGAAACCGAGUCUUAACUGGGCGUUAAGUUGCAGGGUAUAGACCCGAAACCCGGUGAUCUAGCCAUGGGCAGGUUGAAGGUUGGGUAACACUAACUGGAGGACCGAACCGACUAAUGUUGAAAAAUUAGCGGAUGACUUGUGGCUGGGGGUGAAAGGCCAAUCAAACCGGGAGAUAGCUGGUUCUCCCCGAAAGCUAUUUAGGUAGCGCCUCGUGAAUUCAUCUCCGGGGGUAGAGCACUGUUUCGGCAAGGGGGUCAUCCCGACUUACCAACCCGAUGCAAACUGCGAAUACCGGAGAAUGUUAUCACGGGAGACACACGGCGGGUGCUAACGUCCGUCGUGAAGAGGGAAACAACCCAGACCGCCAGCUAAGGUCCCAAAGUCAUGGUUAAGUGGGAAACGAUGUGGGAAGGCCCAGACAGCCAGGAUGUUGGCUUAGAAGCAGCCAUCAUUUAAAGAAAGCGUAAUAGCUCACUGGUCGAGUCGGCCUGCGCGGAAGAUGUAACGGGGCUAAACCAUGCACCGAAGCUGCGGCAGCGACGCUGAUGCGUUGUUGGGUAGGGGAGCGUUCUGUAAGCCUGUGAAGGUGUGC